RNAcentral lists this long non-coding RNA (848 nucleotides) under Homo sapiens (human). RNAcentral's name for it is "non-protein coding lnc-COX6A2-4:1". The record is from RNAcentral. Lineage: Eukaryota; Metazoa; Chordata; Mammalia; Primates; Hominidae.
ACUGGUUAAAUACAUUAUGGUACACUCACACAAUGGAAUACUAUGCAGCGGUAUAAAAGAAUGAAAAAGUAAUUUAUGUCUUAAUAUGAACCGAUGUCUGAGAAAUAUUGGUGAAAAAAAGCAAGAUACAGACCAAUAUAAAGUAUGCUACCAUUUGUGUAAAAAAGCUUGUGUGUGUGUAUGUGUGGUGUGUGUGCACACGUGCAUACACUUGCACAUCGCCUGGAAUCUGUCUGAAGGAAACCUCAAAACACAAUCUUGACUACCUUUAAGGAGGUGACUUGAAUAUCUGGAAAGGGAGACUUUUCACUGUACACUUGAAUGCCUUGUGAUUUUUGUACCAUAGACAAGCUUAUCCAUCCAAAAAAUUAAAGUCACAUUGAAAUAAUAAAUGAAUCCAGAAAGGAAGCUUCAUCAUUCCUCAGUGGGCAUCUUUAUUGGGCAUCAGCGCUGGUGUGGAGGAGGUUCCUGGUUCCACCCACGGCUUCUCAUGGAGUCUCCAUCCAAGCUGCGCAGGCUCCAGCAGGCCGCAGGCUCGCAGGCGACGGGAAGUCCCACUUCUUUCAGUGGAGAGAAGCUGCUGUGUUUCCCUCUGUCUUCACCCACAGGAUUGACCGUCCCCUCUCCCGGAGGAAAACCCAGCAGCGGCUUCACCCACGCACAAGGGAGCCCAGGCAGUUCCCUUCUGCCGGAGAGGCUACGCUGCCGUCACCUACCCACACGCCAGAGACAUCUGAGUCACACACGUGAGCCACACGCCCCUGAGCACACACAUGCACACACUCGCACACACGCACAUACACACUUGCACACACACAAAUGGAAGCCCAAGCCCGUCCUGUCGGGGA